GCCAGUUUAUUUACGAGAUUUGAUUGGGAGGAUGGUUGCCAACUACACCCUUUCUCCUAUCAAAAGGAUAAGAAACAGGUGUUUCGAAAGUGCCCAUGGCCAUAAGGGAGAAAGAGCACCAGACCAUCUGAAUAACGUGAAAGUGGACACAGGAAACACCAGACACCCAGAGAAAUGGAGUCCAAAUGAUCUAACUCCUUCAUCCUGGCUGGAGUGCAGUGGUGCAAUCCUAGCUCACUGCAGGCUUAAGCGAUCCUCCUGCCUCAGACCCCCAAGCACCUAGGACUACAGGUAUGCGCUGUCACACCUGGCCAAUGUUUCUAUUUUUUUGUAGAGUCGGGGUCUCCCUAUGUUACCCAGGUUGAUCUCGAGCUCCUGGCCUCAAGUGAUCCUCCUGCCUUGGCUUUUCUGGCUACUUAGACUCAUAAUUAUUUUGAUUUUUGCUGUGUUGUUGGGUGUAUUAAUUGGUCAUUCCUUUAUGUAGAUGAGUAAUAUUCCAUUACAUGAAUAUAUCACGGUUUGUGUAUUCUUUCACCUGUUGGUGAAUAUUUAGGUUUUUUGGCGUUUGAGCUAUUACAAAUAACAUCAUUUUGAACAUUAUUCCUUAAAUACUUAGGAGUAGAAUGGCUGCACCACAUGGUGGGUAUAUGUUUAACUUUUUAAGAAACUAUCAAACUAUUUUCCAAAAUGGUUAUAGCAUUUUAUAUUCUCAUCAAUAGUACGUGAGAAUAUUUGUUCCUCAACAUUCUUCCCAACAUUUGAUAUGACCAGGCUUUAUAAUUUUAUCCAUACUAAUAAGUGCAUAGUGGUAUCUUAUUGUGGUAUACAUUUUUGUUUUCCUAAUGAUUAAUCAUAUUGAGCAUCUUCUCCUGUACUUAUCUGCAAUCCUUAUAUCUUCUUUGAUGAAAUAAGUGUUCAUCAAUAUUUUGAACAAGCAUGUUUUGAAUAGUCAUUUUAUCAAAGAAGAUGUAUGGUUGGCAGAUAGGUAUAGGAGAUGCUCAAUAUCAGUAAUCAUUAGGAAAGUGAACAUUUAUACCACAAUAAGAUACCACUAUACACUUAUUGGGUCAUGUAUCCUGUAAACACAUAAACCACAAAAAUUAAAAAUGACUAAAAGAAAUGGCUUUUCAUUUUGCUCAUUUUAAAAACUGCAUUGUUAUUAUUUUUUAAGAAUUUCUCAUCUACCCCGAUUAUAGGUAAAUUAUAUAGAAAUUCUUCCAAUCUGUGCCUUUUCUUUUCCAUUCUCAUUACAGAGCAAGUGUUUUUAAUUUUGAUGAAG
This is a long non-coding RNA of Pan troglodytes (chimpanzee), 1279 nucleotides long. RefSeq lists it as uncharacterized. The record is from RefSeq and is a predicted model, not a curated record. NCBI's taxonomy places the organism in Eukaryota, Metazoa, Chordata, Mammalia, Primates, Hominidae. The transcript is spliced from 3 exons.